GCGGACUUCCCCCUUGCCUUUCUCGUGAUAGUGAGUGAGUUCUCACGAGAUCUGCUGGUUUAAAAGUGUGUAGCACCUCUCCCUUCACUCUCUUUCUCCUGUUUGGCCGUGUACCAAGUUCCUGCCUGUCUUCUGUCUUCACCCGUGACUUGCCUCAAGUAGUUGGCUCCUUUCCCACCGGCUACUUUGUAACUGCGAAUAUGACAACAUGACGGUGAUUCACAGAUGCCAAAAUAUGACGAGCAGAGCAAAUCUGUGUUCCAGAUAUGAUAAGAGUCUUACUCUGCCUUCCAGGCUGGAGUGCAAUGGCAUGAUCUCGGCUCACUGCCACCUUCGCCUCCUGGGUUCAAGCGAUUCUCCUGCUUCAGCCUCCCAAGUAGCUGGAACCACGGGCCACCACUCCCAGCUAAUUUUUAUAUUUUUAGUAAAGACAGGGUUUCACCAUGUUGGCCCGGCUGGUCUUAAACUCUUGACCUCAAGUGAUCCGUCCACCUCGGCCUCGCAAAGUGUUGGGAUUACAGGCGUGAGCCACCAAGCUCGGCCCCUCAACUUUAUUUUCUUUGUUUUGGCAUCUCUCAGGUUGAAUUUGGUGAGAGGCCCAAGAGCCCAUGCUGAGUCUCGUCCUUCUAAAGCCCUUCACUAAGCAUUGUGUUGUUCAGUGAAUGUUCCUCCUCUGGAUUCACAUUACUACUCACUAGCACCUCAUUUGACGGUGGAUGUAGACUCAUUUGCAUGCUUAUUUCCUGUUUUAUGUUUAUGCCG
This 762-nucleotide long non-coding RNA is filed under the name Homo sapiens (human). RNAcentral's name for it is "HSALNT0323876". The record is from RNAcentral. Lineage: Eukaryota; Metazoa; Chordata; Mammalia; Primates; Hominidae.